GAUGAACGCUAGCGGCAGGCCUAAUACAUGCAAGUCGAACGAUAUUAUCCAGCUUGCUGGAUAUGAAAGUGGCGCACGGGUGCGUAACGCGUAUGCAACCUACCUUAUUCAGGGGGAUAGCCCGAAGAAAUUCGGAUUAACACCGCAUAAAAUCACAAUUCAGCAUUGGACAAUGAUCAAAUAUUUAUAGGAAUAAGAUGGGCAUGCGUGUCAUUAGCUAGUUGGCGGGGUAACGGCCCACCAAGGCGACGAUGACUAGGGGAUCUGAGAGGAUGGCCCCCCACACUGGUACUGAGACACGGACCAGACUCCUACGGGAGGCAGCAGUAAGGAAUAUUGGUCAAUGGAGGGAACUCUGAACCAGCCAUGCCGCGUGCAGGAAGACGGCCCUCUGGGUCGUAAACUGCUUUUAUUCGGGAAUAAACCUAUUUACGUGUAAAUAGCUGAAUGUACCGAAGGAAUAAGGAUCGGCUAACUCCGUGCCAGCCGCCGCAGUAA
Molecule: ribosomal RNA, 498 nt
Filed under: uncultured bacterium
Lineage: Bacteria
Description: partial 16S ribosomal RNA
Rfam family: Bacterial small subunit ribosomal RNA
Source: RNAcentral